Molecule: long non-coding RNA, 2570 nt
Organism: Pan troglodytes (chimpanzee)
Lineage: Eukaryota; Metazoa; Chordata; Mammalia; Primates; Hominidae
Exons: 3
Source: RefSeq, a predicted model, not a curated record
GGUAACUUGGUUGGGUCGUCUUCUCUGCUGUGUGGGCCUUGUUCUGUUGCUCUUUGCAGUAAUUCUUGCUGCUGCUGACUGUUGGGUCCGAGCCGUCUUUAAGAGCUAUUACACUCACGGUGAAGGUUUGUGGUUUCACUCCUGAAGUCAAGCGAGUCUACGAACCCACCGGAAGGAAGAAACUCCAGACUCUGAAGCAACAAACUCUGGACAUACCAAAUGUAAGAAUUGUAACACUCACCACGAGGGUCCGUGGCUUCCACCCUCGCAGCUUCCUCCUUGAAGUCUCCGAGACCAAGAGCCCACCGGAAGGAACCAAUUCUGGACCCAUCAGCUUUGUUAAUUUCCCUUGGAAAAGUAUUGAUGAUCAAGUGAUGCUAGCAGCAACAGUGUUAAAGGCUUUAACGCUUUUAAAGGUGAGACUUUUGGGAGUUGAUUAGGUCAUGAGGAUGGAGCCUGGUGAAUGGGAUCAGUGAAAGAGGCCUGAUGUGAGGGUGACACAGGCUUAAACUGAGACAAUCCAGCAUGGAACUCUUGCAGGAAGUACUAGGAAAGUGCAUUUUCUUUCCAUGAGGGUUGCCAAACUGGAAGCAUGUUAGCUAAAGCUACCUGUAGUCAUUUUGUGGCCACAUUGGGUGAGAUUGUCUGAGAAAGCAAACCAACUGAAGCAGAGCAGAGAAGAUACUCUACCAACCUAGUUGGAGCCCUGGUUCCAGCCUUGCCUGAAGCUAAAUGCACCUCUUUGCUUCCUUUUUACUGACCCAAUAAAUUUCCCUAUUUGUUUAAACAAGCUUGAUAUGAAUUUUUUUCACCCAGAGACUCUUGAUUCAUUUUUUUAUUAAUUAUGUGGCCUCCCACAAAGAUGAAUACUGAUGAAGUAUACUGCCAGCCAAGAAGCUCAGGGCUCUGAUUUGUAGUCUGAAGACACAUGUGGCAUACAUCAAAGAGUAAAGAUCUCCACUGGAAGCUUUGCUCUGUUAGCUUGUUGAGCUUUUGUUGCUUAAAGGGAGAAGAAGCUUGCUGAGUUUUCUAGAAUAGCACAGUGUAUUGUUUGAGUACAUAUCUUUGACAUGGCACAUAUUGCAACAUGAUCCCAAUUCACAGCAAAAUCAAUGGUGCCAAGGUUAUCAUUGUCUCAAUAUCACUGGACCUCAGAAAUUUCACAGGGGCCCCAGAGCUUUCAGAGUAAAAACAUCAAUCAUCCAUGCAGUGAUGCAGGAUUAAUUCACAUGUUCAAAAGCAUCUGGUCAUAACAAAGUUGUGUCUUCAGAGGAAGACUUGUUGUUUGAAGCUCAUCCUCCAGCAAGAUCAAUAAAUGUCCCAAAGCGCUGAGGACUCAUUCUUCCCCUUUUAUGUUUUCCUUUGCAUAAUGACAAAAACAAAUCUAGGGACAUUUGGAGCAGUUGUCUCUACUUAGAAAUAGUCCUUUGGGGCUCCAUGGGUAAAUGCCUUAAAUAAUAAGCUUUAAAUAUAAUGGAUAGUUCUUGUUCAGAAGAAGAAAUAAUGUUCUUUUUAAGAAUCAGCUGCAAAAAGGGGGAAUCAAAGAAAGAAAUCUUCAUUGAACUUGAAAGAAAACAUUGGGAGAAAAAAAUCACCAACUAUGGAACCACUAUAACUUCUUACAAUGCGGCAUGAAUAUGUCUAAGUUUUCACAAAAUAACACAUUUAAGAAUUUUAACUAGUCAAAAUACAAAAUCAGUCAACUUAUUGUUUGAAAUGCCUUGUUAUUUAACUUAACUGACCAUAUAAUUCAACCAGACACGUACUUACUAUGUGUACAUGUGCCUGCACCCCUGCAUGUGUUUGCAGAUCAAUAAUCUGAAGAUAGUUUGCAAAACCUUGAAAAGUUUACAGAAUCCCUUUGAAGCGCUGAGUAAAUCUUUCUUUAGUUUUGGAGUCAUUUGGAGGCAUGGUUCCCUUUACUCACAUCAGACUUUUGCUUUAGCAACAACAAAAAAUGGACAAUUUUCUACCAAAAGAAAAAAAUAAAUAAUUUUUUUGAAAAAUGUGGCUUUAUUUGCUCAUGGUAGUUCACCAGGAGCAGAAAUAUGAACUCCUUGAAAGUAAGUCUAUCUGUAAAGUAUUAAGUAACCACUUCUUAACCUUCAAUUCUAUGCUGUAAACUUUACUUUUUGUAAUAAGGUUAAAAGAGUGACACUAAUGGAAGUCUCUGAAAAUAACCUACAGCCUCUGCAAAGACUGGGUGUGUUUGCAUAAUCUAAACUGAGCAAACCUUGGAAGAAAUAUAUGAGCACACAUUCUAACACCUUCAAUUAAGUUCUGUUAAACUUCCAGAGACUAUGUAUCUUCUAUAAAUGGCGAGGAAAGUAGUUGAUUCAGACAGGCUACAGUGUUGGAAAUGGACUAGUCGCUGUAUUUCAUCUUUUGAGGGUUUUAUUGUUUCAAGCUAGUUAGAUUUUGAGCUCGAGCCUCUAAACUCUUCAAGAAGUAUAUAGAAAGAAGUAUCUGAACUCUUACAUAAGGUAUAUUCUAUAUGCAAAAUACCAGACAGCUAUCAACAACUUUCUCCAAAAUCAGAGAAAACUGGAAAUAAAGGAGAGGGUGUUUUU